UCCUAGAAGGGAGUGAGUCACUUGUGGAGC
This 30-nucleotide non-coding RNA is filed under the name Mus musculus (house mouse). Lineage: Eukaryota; Metazoa; Chordata; Mammalia; Rodentia; Muridae. The record is from RNAcentral.